RNAcentral lists this ribosomal RNA (301 nucleotides) under uncultured bacterium. Its description in RNAcentral is "partial 16S ribosomal RNA". It matches the Rfam family "Bacterial small subunit ribosomal RNA", at positions 509 to 807 of the family's 1533-position model. The record is from RNAcentral.
CAGUCGCCACGGUAAUACGGAGGGGGCUAGCGUUGUUCGGAAUUACUGGGCGUAAAGCGCACGUAGGCGGCUUGGUAAGUUAGAGGUGAAAGCCCGGAGCUCGACUCCGGAAUUGCCUUUAAGACUGCCGAGCUAGUAGGUGAGAGAGGUAAGUGGAAUUCCGAGCGUAGAGGUGAAAUUCGUAGAUAUUCGGAAGAACACCGGUGGCGAAGGCGGCUUACUGGCUCAUUCUAGACGCUGAGGUGCGAAAGCGUGGGGAGCAAACAGGAUUAGAUACCCGCGUAGUCCCUGUCUCUUAUAC